This 397-nucleotide long non-coding RNA is filed under the name Panax ginseng (ginseng). RNAcentral's name for it is "long non-coding RNA (PGIN_LNC011319)". The record is from RNAcentral. Lineage: Eukaryota; Viridiplantae; Streptophyta; Magnoliopsida; Apiales; Araliaceae.
UGCUCUUGUGUGGCGACCCCAAAUCUGGAUACUUGAAACCCAAACUCGGUUCUCCACGAUACCAUUUCUUUAAGCUGAAUAAUACUAAAUAAUAAUACAUUCGAACUUAAUUUACAUACAUCAAAGUUUACUUCCCCAGGUACGUGACCUUCAAAUACAUUCCUUACAAUACCUGACAAUAGAUUCCAUUGUCUUACUAACUAUAACCAUUAACUCAUACUAAAUCUCAUUCGAACAACUUUUCUUUUCCCUUAUUCGUGCCUGAGCCUUCAGGUCGAUCGUACGUAACUGAAAACAUUUAUUUUAAGCAAGGAUAAGCAUUUGAGUGCCCAGCAAGUAAUAGCAAUUAUAUAUAUAAGCUGAAAGAAUAUAAGUAUUCUCUUUACAUAACACUUCU